GUAGGUGAACCUGCGGAAGGAUCAUUAAUGAAUAUCUAUGGCGAGUUGUAGCUGGCUCUUAGGAGCAUGUGCACGCUUGUCAUUUUUAUCUUUCCACCUGUGCACUCUAUGUAGGUCUGGAUAACUCUCGCUCUAGGGCGGAAGCGAGGAUUGCUGCGCCGCAAGGCCAGCUCUCUUCGAAUUUCCAGAUCUAUGUCCUUUAUACACCCCAAUUGAAAAAUGCAGAAUGUCGUCAAUGGGCUCUAAGCCUAUAAAACAAAAUACAACUUUCAGCAACGGAUCUCUUGGCUCUC
Molecule: unclassified non-coding RNA, 293 nt
Filed under: rhizosphere metagenome
Description: partial ribosomal RNA internal transcribed spacer region
Source: RNAcentral